GACGAACGCUGGCGGCGUGCUUAACACAUGCAAGUCGAACGGAAAGGCCCUGCUUUUGUGGGGUGCUCGAGUGGCGAACGGGUGAGUAACACGUGAGUAACCUGCCCUUGACUUUGGGAUAACUUCAGGAAACUGGGGCUAAUACCGGAUAGGAGCUCCUGCUGCAUGGUGGGGGUUGGAAAGUUUCGGCGGUUGGGGAUGGACUCGCGGCUUAUCAGCUUGUUGGUGGGGUAGUGGCUUACCAAGGCUUUGACGGGUAGCCGGGCUGAGAGGGUGACCGGCCACAUUGGGACUGAGAUACGGCCCAGACUCCUACGGGAGGCAGCAGUGGGGAAUAUUGCACAAUGGGCGGAAGCCUGAUGCAGCAACGCCGCGUGCGGGAUGAUGGCCUUCGGGUUGUAAACCGCUUUCGCCUGUGACGAAGCGUGAGUGACGGUAAUGGGUAAAGAAGCACCGGCUAACUACGUG
Molecule: ribosomal RNA, 468 nt
Filed under: uncultured bacterium
Lineage: Bacteria
Description: partial 16S ribosomal RNA
Rfam family: Bacterial small subunit ribosomal RNA
Source: RNAcentral